Molecule: ribosomal RNA, 429 nt
Filed under: Verrucomicrobiota bacterium
Lineage: Bacteria; Pseudomonadati; Verrucomicrobiota
Description: Verrucomicrobia bacterium partial 16S ribosomal RNA
Rfam family: Bacterial small subunit ribosomal RNA
Source: RNAcentral
UAGGGAAUCUUCGGCAAUGGGGGGAACCCUGACCGAGCAACGCCGCGUGAGUGAAGAAGGUUUUCGGAUCGUAAAGCUCUGUUGUUAAGGAAGAACGAGUGUGAGAAUGGAAAGUUCAUGCUGUGACGGUACUUAACCAGACAGGGACGGCUAACUACGUGCCAGCAGCCGCGGUAAUACGUAGGGCCCGAGCGUUGUCCGUAUUUAUUGGGCGUAAAGCGAGCGCAGGCGGUUAGAAAAGUCUGAAGUGAAAGGCAGUGGCUCAACCAUUGUAGGCUUUGGAAACUGUUUAAAAUGAGGGCAGAAGGGGAGGGUGGAAUUCCAUGUGUAGGGGUGAAAUGCGUAGAUAUAUGGAGGAACACCGGUGGCGAAAGCGGCUCUCUGGUCUGUAGCUGACGCUGAGGCUCGAAAGCGUGGGGAGCGAACAGG